Molecule: ribosomal RNA, 433 nt
Filed under: uncultured bacterium
Lineage: Bacteria
Description: partial 16S ribosomal RNA
Rfam family: Bacterial small subunit ribosomal RNA
Source: RNAcentral
AACGAACGCUGGCGGCAUGCCUAACACAUGCCAGUCGAACGAGACCUUCGGGUCUAGUGGCGCACGGGUGCGUAACGCGUGGGAACCUGCCCUUAGGUUCGGAAUAACUCCCCGAAAGGGGUGCUAAUACCGGAUAAUGUCUUCGGACCAAAGAUUUAUCGCCUUUGGAUGGGCCCGCGUUGGAUUAGCUAGUUGGUAGGGUUAAAGCCUACCAAGGCGACGAUCCAUAGCUUGGCUGAGAGGAUGAUCAGCCACACUGGGACUGAGACACGGCCCAGACUCCUACGGGAGGCAGCAGUGGGGAAUAUUGGACAACGGGCGAAAGCCUGAUCCAGCAAUGCCGCGUGAGUGAUGAAGGCAUUAGGGUUGUAAAGCUCUUUUACCCGGGAUGAUAAUGACAGUACCGGGAGAAUAAGCCCCGGCUAACUCCGUG